RNAcentral lists this ribosomal RNA (437 nucleotides) under uncultured Ethanoligenens sp. RNAcentral describes it as "partial 16S ribosomal RNA". It matches the Rfam family "Bacterial small subunit ribosomal RNA", at positions 341 to 792 of the family's 1533-position model. The record is from RNAcentral. Lineage: Bacteria; Bacillati; Bacillota; Clostridia; Eubacteriales; Oscillospiraceae.
ACUGGAGGCAGCAGUGGGGGAUACUGCACAAUGGAGGAAACUCUGAUGCAGCAACGCCGCGUGAGGGAAGAAGGUCUUCGGAUUGUAAACCUCUGUUUUUAGUGACGAAACAAAUGACGGUAGCUAAAGAGGAAGCCACGGCUAACUUCGUGCCAGCAGCCGCGGUAAUACGUAGGUGGCAAGCGUUGUCCGGAUUUACUGGGUGUAAAGGGUGCGCAGGCGGGACUGCAAGUUGGAUGUGAAAUGCCAAGGCUUAACCUUGGAACUGCAUCCAAAACUGUAGUUCUUGAGUGGAGUAGAGGUAAGCGGAAUUCCGAGUGUAGCGGUGAAAUGCGUAGAUAUUCGGAGGAACACCAGUGGCGAAGGCGGCUUACUGGGCUCUAACUGACGCUGAGGAACGAAAGCAUGGGUAGCAAACAGGAUUAGAUACCCUGGUA